AUACGGAGGGUGCAAGCGUUAAUCGGAAUUACUGGGCGUAAAGCGCGCGUAGGUGGUUAUGUCAGUCGGGUGUGAAAGCCUCGGGCUCAACCUGGGAACUGCAUCCGAUACUGCAUAGCUAGAGUCUGGUAGAGGGAAGUGGAAUUCCACAUGUAGCGGUGAAAUGCGUAGAUAUGUGGAGGAACACCAAUGGCGAAGGCAGCUUCCUGGACCAAGACUGACACUGAGGUGCGAAAGCGUGGGGAGCAAACAGCAUUAGAAACCCCGGUAGUCC
This 274-nucleotide ribosomal RNA is filed under the name uncultured bacterium. RNAcentral's name for it is "partial 16S ribosomal RNA". It matches the Rfam family "Bacterial small subunit ribosomal RNA", at positions 523 to 796 of the family's 1533-position model. The record is from RNAcentral.